This 107-nucleotide small nuclear RNA is filed under the name Carlito syrichta (Philippine tarsier). The record is from RNAcentral. Lineage: Eukaryota; Metazoa; Chordata; Mammalia; Primates; Tarsiidae.
GUGCCUUCUUCGGCAACACAUACACUAAAAGUGGACUGAUACAGAGAAGAUUAGCAUGGUCCCCACACAAAGACGACAUGUAAAUUUGUGAAGUAGUCCAUAUUUUA